This is a non-coding RNA of Nicotiana tabacum (common tobacco), 1582 nucleotides long. The record is from RefSeq and is a predicted model, not a curated record. Lineage: Eukaryota; Viridiplantae; Streptophyta; Magnoliopsida; Solanales; Solanaceae.
CAUUUUUCUCUAUUUUGACACCAAUCACAGAUCAAUUAUUUUUCUAUAGUAAUCAUGGCUUCUUCUUGUUUACAUGCCAUUCUUUUAUGCUCUCUUCUUUUCAUUACUUCAAUCACGGCCCAAAACCAAACUUCUUUCCGUCCCAAAGGCCUAAUUCUCCCAAUCACAAAAGAUGCUUCAACUCUCCAAUAUCUCACCCAAAUCCAACAAAGAACACCUCUUGUCCCUGUAAGUUUAACUCUUGAUCUUGGUGGCCAAUUUUUAUGGGUUGACUGUGACCAAGGUUAUGUCUCCUCCUCUUAUAAACCUGCGCGGUGUCGCUCCGCCCAGUGUUCAUUAGCCGGAGCUGGCGGCUGUGGACAAUGCUUUUCUCCACCUAAACCAGGCUGCAAUAAUGACACAUGCGGCCUACUUCCUGAUAACACUGUCACUCGAACCGCCACCAGUGGAGAAUUAGCUUCUGAUACUGUGCAAGUGCAAUCUUCUAAUGGUAAAAAUCCUGGAAGAAAUGUAAGUGACAAAGAUUUUCUUUUCGUUUGUGGCUCUACAUUUCUUUUAGAAGGACUUGCUACUGGUGUUAAAGGUAUGGCUGGUCUUGGUAGGACAAGAAUAUCUCUUCCUUCGCAAUUCUCAGCUGAAUUUAGCUUCCCUAGAAAAUUUGCUGUUUGUUUGAGCUCUUCAACCAACUCAAAGGGUGUUGUACUUUUUGGAGAUGGACCUUAUUCUUUCCUUCCUAAUAGGGAAUUCUCAAAUAAUGAUUUUUCCUACACUCCACUUUUUAUCAAUCCAGUAAGUACAGCUUCAGCUUUUUCCUCAGGAGAACCCUCUUCUGAAUACUUUAUUGGAGUAAAAUCCAUCAAGAUUAACCAAAAAGUUGUCCCAAUAAACACAACUUUGUUGUCAAUUGACAACCAAGGUGUUGGUGGAACUAAGAUUAGCACAGUCAAUCCUUACACCAUUUUGGAAACUUCAAUAUACAAUGCUGUUACAAAUUUCUUUGUCAAGGAACUUGUCAACAUUACUAGAGUUGCAUCCGUGGCACCAUUUGGGGCUUGUUUUGAUUCAAGAAACAUUGUAAGUACAAGAGUUGGACCAGCUGUACCCUCCAUUGAUCUUGUUUUGCAAAAUGAGUGUUUUUUGGACGAUUUUUGGAGCAAACUCGAUGGUACAAGUGAGUGAAAAUGUUUUGUGCCUUGGGUUUGUGGAUGGAGGUGUUAAUACAAGGACUUCUAUUGUGAUUGGAGGAUACACAAUUGAGGAUAAUCUUUUGCAGUUUGAUCUUGCAAGAUCAAGAUUAGGAUUCAUAUCUUCAAUUCUAUUCCGACAAACUACAUGUCCCGAUUUUAACUUCACUUCAAUUGCUUAGGUGGUGUGGACUGAAGUUGUUUGUAUUUUGAUUCUUAAUAAUGGUCUAAGUAUGCCUUUUGAAAUAAUUUGUAAUAAGUGGACCUCUCCUCCUUAAAUAAGAGGUCCUACUUAGCUCGCGUAGUAGUGCGCCAGAUAAGAUUUCAUGUAAUUUGUGCGUUGAAAACUUUGUUAAAUUGGGUGUGGAUAAUGCAUAUACAUUUUUUCAAUUUUUUUU